UCCAUGCCCUAAACGAUGGAUGCUAGCUAUUGGAAGAAUCGACCCUUCUAGUGGCGUAGCUAACGCGUUAAGCAUCCCGCCUGGGAAGUACGAUCGCAAGAUUAAAACUCAAAGGAAUAGACGGGGGCUCGCACAAGCGGUGGAGCAUGAGGUUUAAUUCGACGAUAAGCGAAGAACCUUACCAGGGCUUGAAAUCCUGUUGAAUUCUGGUAGAAAUAUCAGAAGUCUCGGUU
This 233-nucleotide ribosomal RNA is filed under the name uncultured bacterium. Its description in RNAcentral is "partial 16S ribosomal RNA". It matches the Rfam family "Bacterial small subunit ribosomal RNA", at positions 794 to 1023 of the family's 1533-position model. The record is from RNAcentral.